UAGGGAAUCUUCCGCAAUGGACGCAAGUCUGACGGAGCAACGCCGCGUGAGUGAAGGAGGAUUUCGGUUCGUAAAACUCUGUUGUUAGAGAAGAACAGCGCAUAGAGUAACUGUUAUGCGUGUGACGGUAUCUAACCAGAAAGCCACGGCUAACUACGUGCCAGCAGCCGCGGUAAUACGUGGGUGGCAAGCGUUGUCCGGAUUUAUUGGGCGUAAAGCGAGCGCAGGCGGUCAAUUAAGUCUGAUGUGAAAGCCCCCGGCUCAACCGGGGAGGGUCAUUGGAAACUGGUUGACUUGAGUGCAGAAGGGGAGAGUGGAAUUCCAUGUGUAGCGGUGAAAUGCGUAGAUAUAUGGAGGAACACCGGUGGCGAAAGCGGCUCUCUGGUCUGUAACUGACGCUGAGGCUCGAAAGCGUGGGGAGCGAACAGG
RNAcentral lists this ribosomal RNA (429 nucleotides) under Bacteroidota bacterium. RNAcentral's name for it is "Bacteroidetes bacterium partial 16S ribosomal RNA". It matches the Rfam family "Bacterial small subunit ribosomal RNA", at positions 355 to 776 of the family's 1533-position model. Lineage: Bacteria; Pseudomonadati; Bacteroidota. The record is from RNAcentral.